AUGAUUUCAUUCUUUUUAUGGCUGAAUAGUAUUCCAUGGUGUACAUGUACAAAAUUUACUUAAUCUAAUCCAUCAUUGAUGGGCAUCUAGGUUGAUUCCAUAUUUUUCUUGUUGUGAAUAGUGCUGUGCUGCGGUGAACAACAUAUGAGUGCAUGUGUCUUUUUGGCAGAAUGAUUUAUUUUCUGUAGGAUAUAUACCCAAUAAUAUGAUUGCUGGGUUGAAUGAUAGUUUUAUUUAUAGUUCUUUGAGAAAUUUCCAAAGUGGCUGAACUAAUUUACAUACCCACCAACAGUGUAUAAGCAUUCCCUUUACUUUGCAUCCUCACCAACAGCUUUUAUUUUUGACUUUUUAAUAAUAGCUAUUCAGACUGGUGAGAGAUGGUAUUCCACUGUGGUUUUGAUUUGGAUUUCCCUAAUGAUUAGUGAUGCUGAGCAUUUUUUCAUAUGUUUGUUGGCUAAAAAGCUGAUAUUUCAUUUCAUUUUUUUAAAGGUUUAUGUUAGGUUCGGGGGUACAUGUGAAGGUUUGUUACAUAGGUGAACUUGUGUCACAGGGGUUUGUUGUACAGCUGAUUUCAUCACCCAUGCAAAAAGCCCAGUACCCAAUAAUUAUUAUUUGUGCUUCUCUUCUUCCUCCCACCCUCCACCCUCAAGUAGACCCCAGUGUCUUUCAUUCCCCAAAAGCUAACAUUUUAAACCAGCCCAAAAUAUAAUAAUUUUAAUCUGAAGUGGCAUGUGAUUUCUGUUAAUGAUAAAAAAGAUAACAUUUGAAAAGGAGUCCUUUUGAUAACCCAUGUAUUAAGGACUAAAUGUUUGUACCUUCUCCCACCCCCAGAAUCAUAUGUGAAACCCUAACAACCAAUGUGAAUGUAUUUGGAGAUAGGGUCAUAAGCAGAUGGUAGAGUUUAAAUGAGGUCAUAAGGGUGGAGCCCUAAUCUGAUAGAGCUGUUGCACUUUUCAGAAGAGGAAGAGAUACUGGAACGUGUCUCUGUCUGUGUGCAUUCAGAAAGAAGGCCAUGUGAUACAGUUUGGAUGUUGCCUCCAACCAAAUGUCAUGUCAAAAUGUAAUCUUCAGUAUUGGAGGGGAGGCAUGGUGGGGGGAGAUUGGGUCCCCCCACCCAGUGGAGGCAAGUUUCUCAUGAAUGGUUUAGCACCAUCCCCCUUGGUACUGUCUUCACAAUAGUGAGCUCUCAUGAUAUUUGGUCAUUUAAAAGUGUGUAGCACUUCCCCCUUCACGUUCUCUUGCUCCUGCUCUGGCCAUGUGACAUGCCUAUUCCCUCUUCACCUUCUGGCAUGACUGUUAAGUUUCCUGUGGCCUCCCUGGAAGCUGAGCAGAUUCCAUCAUCAUGCUUCCUGUACAGUCUGCAGAACCAUGAGCCAAUUAAGCCUCUUUUCUUUAUAAAUUACCCAGUCUGAGGUACUUCUUUAUAGCACUGCAAGAAUGGACUAAUACGCUAUGUGAAGACAAAGGGGAUGUCUGCAAGCCAGGACGAGUGCGUCUACCAGAAACUGAGUUCUGCUGGACUUUGAUCUAGGACAUCCAGCCUCCAGAAUGGAAUGUGCCAUAUGUGGAGACCUGCAUGGAAAGGAACUGAGGAUGCUCUCUCACUAAAAGCUAGAAGGAACUGAGGCCCUCAGUCAACAGUCUACAAGACACUGAAUCUUGCCAGCAGCCAAGCAGUGAGCUUGAAAGCAGAUCUAUCAUCAGCUGAACCUUCAGAUGAGACCGCAGCCUAAGCAGAUACCUUGGUUGCAGCCAUGUGAGACAACCUGAAACAGAGGGCACAGCUAAGCCUCAGCCAGGUUCAUGACCCUCUGAGGAAACUGUGAGAAAGCAAAUGUCAUUUUAAGCUAUUUAAUUUUGGAGGUAGUUUAUUACACAACAAUAAAUAACUAUUAUAAUUAUCUUGAGGAUUUAUUUCCUGGGGAGAAUACAUGGAAUUGCAUAUAUAGGUCCUCAUAUGCAGAAUACUGGUACCCUAGAGAUGUUCACCCCAGAGAUGUUUUAGGAACCUGUGAAUAUGUUACAUUAAAUGGCAAAGUUUUCCUGGAUGGUUUAAGUUUAAGAUGGAAAAGUUUUACUGGAUUAUCCAGUGGGUCCAAUCUAGUAACAUGAGUCCUUAAAAAUGGAGAAUAUUUUUUGGCCAUGAUCAGAGAGACAUGUGAUGAUGGAAAAAGUGUCAGAGAUGCAAUGUGAGGGGACUAAAACUGCUGUUGCUGACUUUAAAGAUGGAGAGAGGGGAACCCGAGUCAAGGAAUGCAAAUGGCCUCUGGAAGCUGGAAAAAGCAAGAAAUGGAUUCUCCUUUAGAGCCUGUGGAAUAAAAUGCAGUCAUGCUGACACCUUGAUUUUACCUCAGUGAGACCAAUACUGGAGUAUGACCUUCGGAGCUGAAUAAAAUUAUACGUACACAUCUUAAUUUCUUGGGAUUUGAUUACUUCUUCUGCUUUGAAAUUAGACCAAGUUUAGCCUGCCUUUGCUAUUUUGGCGUAUCUCCAAUUCUUCAUGAUUUUCUCAUGUUGCUAUUUGUGCAGUAGUGGGCUCGAUGGUGGUAUCUCAAAAGCGCAAAGGCCACAUAAGGACAGUGAGAAGGCAGCCACCUGCAAGCCAGGAAGAAAGGUCUCACCAGAUACCAACCCUGCCAGCAUGUUGAUCUUGGACUUCCAGCCUCCAAAACUGUGAGAAGGCCUUCUGCUCACAUGGGCUUCCGUGCACCUGCUUCAGGAGACAGCAACACUUGCGCCCGCACCGCGGCAGGCUCCCAUCACCUGGUGGAUAUGCCGCGCCGAGUCUCAUCACACCUUAGUGAAGGAACACAUGGACCCAUAUGUUAGCGGAUGUAUUUACAUCGUUUUAUACAGAAAGGGGA
Molecule: long non-coding RNA, 2864 nt
Organism: Homo sapiens (human)
Lineage: Eukaryota; Metazoa; Chordata; Mammalia; Primates; Hominidae
Product: long intergenic non-protein coding RNA 1748
Source: Ensembl